Molecule: ribosomal RNA, 478 nt
Filed under: uncultured bacterium
Lineage: Bacteria
Description: partial 16S ribosomal RNA
Rfam family: Bacterial small subunit ribosomal RNA
Source: RNAcentral
GACGAACGCUGGCGGCGUGCUUAACACAUGCAAGUCGAGCGAUGAAGUUCCUUCGGGAAUGGAUUAGCGGCGGACGGGUGAGUAACACGUGGGUAACCUGCCUCAGAGAGGGGAAUAGCCUUCCGAAAGGCAGAUUAAUACCGCAUAAGAUCGUAGUUUCGCAUGAAACAGCAAUUAAAGGAGUAAUCCGCUAUGAGAUGGACCCGCGUCGCAUUAGCUAGUUGGUGAGGUAACGGCUCACCAAGGCGACGAUGCGUAGGCGACCUGAGAGGGUGAUCGGCCACAUUGGGACUGAGACACGGCCCAGACUCCUACGGGAGGCAGUAGUGGGGAAUAUUGCACAAUGGGGGAAACCCUGAUGCAGCAACGCCGCGUGAGUGAUGACGGUCUUCGGAUUGUAAAACUCUGUCUUCAGGGACGAUAAUGACGGUACCUGAGGAGGAAGCCACGGCUAACUACGUGCCAGCAGCCGCAGUAA